This 253-nucleotide ribosomal RNA is filed under the name uncultured bacterium. RNAcentral's name for it is "partial 16S ribosomal RNA". It matches the Rfam family "Bacterial small subunit ribosomal RNA", at positions 524 to 776 of the family's 1533-position model. The record is from RNAcentral.
UACGUAGGGUGCGAGCGUUAAUCGGAAUUACUGGGCGUAAAGCGUGCGCAGGCGGUUUUGUAAGCCAGAUGUGAAAUCCCCGGGCUUAACCUGGGAAUGGCAUUUGGGACUGCAAGGCUCGAGUGCGGCAGAGGAGACUGGAAUUCCUGGUGUAGCAGUGAAAUGCGUAGAGAUCGGGAAGAACAUCGGUGGCGAAAGCGCUCUACUGGACCGCAACUGACACUCAGGGACGAAAGCUAGGGGAGCGAACAGG